GUUAAAAAGCUCGUAGUUGGAUCUCGGCGGGCAGGGGGUGGUUCGCUCUUCAGCGCUACUGCCCCGCUUUGCCCGUGUGAUUGGCGGAGGUUUCGGGGUGCUCUUCGUUGAGUGACUCGGAGCGCCGUCAGGUUUACUUUGAAAAAAUUAGAGUGCUCAAAGCAGGCUUUUCACGCUUGAAUAUUCGUGCAUGGAAUAAUGGAAUAGGAACUCGUUUCUAUUUUGUUGGUUUUCGGAAAUCGAGUUAAUGAUUAACAGGGACAAUUGGGGGCAUUAGUAUUCAGACGACAGAGGUGAAAUUCUUGGACCGUCUGAAGACUGACUACUGCGAAAGCAUUUGCCAAGAGUGUUUUCAUUAAUCAAGAACGAAAGUUAGAGGUUCGAAGGCGAUCAGAUACCGCCCUAGUUCUAACCAUAAACGAUGCCAGCUAGCGAUCUGCCGAGUUUUUUUUGUAGGCUCCGCAGGAAGCUUUCGGGAAACCAAAGCUUUUGGGUUCCGGGGGAAGUAUGGUUGCAAAGCUGAAACUUAAAGGAAUUGACGGAAGGGCACCACCAGGAGUGGAGCCUGCGGCUUAAUUUGACUCAACACGGGAAAUCUCACCAGGCCCGGACACUGGAAGGAUUGACAGAUUGAGAGCUCUUUCUCGAUUCGGUGGGUGGUGGUGCAUGGCCGUUCUUAGUUGGUGGAGUGAUUUGUCUGGUUAAUUCCGAUAACGAACGAGACUCUGUCCUGCUAAAUAGUUGGGUCGUCCUUCGUGCGAUCCAAGUUCUUCUUAGAGGGACUGGCUGCGUCUAGCAGCACGAGAUUGAGCAAUAACAGGUCUGUGAUGCCCUUAGAUG
Molecule: ribosomal RNA, 840 nt
Filed under: uncultured eukaryote
Lineage: Eukaryota
Description: SSU rRNA
Rfam family: Eukaryotic small subunit ribosomal RNA
Source: RNAcentral